UAUGACUCUUGUAAUACAUUAAAAGAACCCUAAAAUAAAAUAGAGGAAAACCUUAGAAGCCAAGAGUGCAAUCCUUGGUGUCCUAGCGAAAACAGUGGCUGCUGUGGCUUGGGAUGAUGGAGAGUGGUGGCAUCAACGGGGUUGGGAGAGACGAGAUCUCCCCAUUAGAAGAGGAACUUACUCAACUAUCGGUCAAAAGCUCGACGGUGGAGCCAAACGAUAAACCUCCUCUGAUCUGUUCUGUUUGGACAAAUAAAUCUUAUAAUCAUGAUAGUUUUAAAGCACAGAUGAAAAGUAUCUGGAAAACGAAGGAAAAGUUUGAGAUCCAAUUGGUGGGGCAAAAUCUUUUUUUGAUAACGUUUGAAUCAGAGGAUGAUUUAGAAUCUGUGAUGGAAGGCCAACCAUGGUUGUUUAGGAAGAAUUUAAUUAUUUUUGACCGGACUUUUAAGCCGACAACGAGAGACCAAUUUACGCUUGUUUCAUCUCUGUUUUGGAUUAAAAGUGGACCCUGUUUACCAGAGUUUGAUAAAAAGGAUCUUCUGCAUGCUGUAGGGGUCACGUUCGGUGGAGUGAUCAGAUCUGAAAUUAGCGGUGAGUUUUGUCGCCUUAGAAUACAACUCAAUGUGCAAAAACCACUUCGUAGAGGUAUAUUUGUGUCAACAGGGAAUGGGAAUAAAUGCUGGAUCCCUUUCAAGUAUGAAAAAUUGCCAACCUUCUGUUUUGGAUGUGGAAAACUGGGGCAUGGUCUCCAAGACUGUUUACACCUGCGGAGAAAAUUAGAAUUAGAGAGGAUCCACCUUACUCUUUGGCAUUAAAAGCAGAAUUAAAUUUGAUUGGGAAGGAGAGUCUGAAGUUUAAUGAUUUAUCAAAAAAAAUUACAAGUGCAAUGUUCGUAUACAGGAGUUGUAAACAGUGAACAAAGGAGCGAUAUGAUGGAAGGAGUACAGGAGCAUGCUUGGCUGGAAACUUUAGAAGCAGGAUUACAGAUACAACAGAAUGAAGAAACAAAUGGAAAAACCACAAAAAAUAGAAACGCAAAUUUAUUGAAGCAGGUCAUGGAAGCUAGGUUGAAAAGAGUUGAACAAAUAGAAGUGAUGAGACAGUAUGAGGCAGAGAGUAAGCUACAGAAACGAAAAUGGAAAGAGCUGGUACAGGAGGAUUACGGUGUAAAUGGGAAACAGGAAGGAGCAAUUAAAAGGAUGAAAUUUGGCGAUCAAGACUUAACACAGGAGACGGAUAUCAAUUUUCCAGUUGAAUCACCAAACCAGAAUGAAUCGGCGGCUGCCAAAAGGCAAGCCGACCGGUCGCAAUGAGAAGGCUUCGGUUUUUACUGAAGCAAAAUAAUCCUCAAUUGGUCUUCCUCGUGGAGACUAGGGUUAGUGGAAAGCGAAUGGAGAAAAUUAGGAGGAGGUGUGGGUUUAUGAAUAGGAUAGAUGUAGAUGCAACAGGUUCGCGGUGAGGCAUUUGCCUAGCAUGGAAAGAGGCGGUUCAAGUUGAGCUCAAAACUUUCUCAACCAUAUAGAUGUGCUGAUCGAAGAAGGAGCUAGUAAAGAGUGGAGAUUCACCGGCUUUUAUGGAUCCCCUUACAGAAUAAAAAUGCUUCAUGGGAUCUAUUAAGAUAUUUAGGACAGGAACAAGAGCAUCCUUGGUUGGUAAGUGGAGAUUUCAAUGUAAUUGCUUAUUCCUUUGAAAAAAUGGGAGGUCAACUGAGGGAGGAGAAAAGGAUGGAAGUGUUCCUUGAAGUUCUAAAAGAAUGCUCUCGUAUUGAUGUGGGAUACUCGGGUAAAUGGUAUACAUGGGAAAGGGGAAAUUUACCGGAAACAAAUAUUAGAGAAAGACUUGAUAGGAGUGUAACAAAUGAAAAAUGGAUGGAAUUUUUUCCAACAGGCAAUGUACACCACUUAACGUCUUCAUUUUCGGAUCAUUGUCCUCUUUUAAUUAGUACCAGUACUGAAAGUAAUUUGAAGAGAAUCCCAGUUUUUAAAUUUGAAGCAUGUUGGACUACAUAGAAAACGAUUGAAGAUGAGAUAAAGAGUUCAUGGGAAUCAUCAAAUGGAUCCAUUUCUGAAAAGAUAGAAAGAUUACAGACCAAUCUGACAAGAUGGGCCAACUCAAUAAAGGAAAAAAAGGGGGAUUGACCGGAAAACUUACAAAAGAGCUUGAACGAUUAUUGGAGGAUGAACGAAAUGAGGAUACAAUGGCGCAAAUUAUUGACAAGAGAAUACAUCUGAAUAUGGAGAUUGACAAAGAAGAAAUAUACUGGGAGCAAAGAGCACGGGCUAACUGACUUAAGCUGGGGGAUAAAAAUACAGCUUUCAUCCACAAAUAUGCCUCAAUGCUAAAACAAAUCAACACAAUUAGCAGGUUGUAUACAGAUGAUGGGGAGGGGAUCUAUGAGGAAUCAGAAAUAAAUGCAAGUGCAACAAAGUAUCUAAUCGCAUAGGAGACCAAUCUCAUCUUCUAUCAGGUAUCAACAACAACAUUUCUUCAGAUAUUAACAUAGCCCUUUUAGAAAAGUUUUCGGAAGAAGAGAACUUUAGUGUAGUAAAAAGUAUGGGACCUACCAAAGCACCUGGUUAUGUUGGUUUUUCGGUAUUAUUUUUUCAAAAAUACUGGGAUAUUGUGGGUAACGAUGUUGGGAAGUUUUGUUUGGAGUUUCUGAACAAUGGAAAGGAUAUUGAAGAUCUAAAUUUAACAGAGAUUGUUCUCAUUCCGAAGUAUUCCAAUCCUACCAAUCUCGCCAAUUUCAGACCCAUUAGCUUAUGCACAGUAGUAUAUAAAAUCAUAGCCAAAUCUAUUGCCAAUCGUAUGCAGGCAGUUAUUGGAAGAUGUAUUGAUAGUGCUCAAAGUGCUUUUGUUACUGGGAGGCUUAUUUCGGAUAAUAUCUUAAUAGCCUAUGAAGUUUUACACACACUUCGUCAAAGGCAUAACGGGAAAUAAGGUCUCAUGGCGUUAAAGUUAGAUAUGAGUAAAGCUUAUGAUAGAGUCAAAUGGGGUUUUUUUGAAGGCAGUUAUGGUUAGCAUGGGAUUUACAGAGGAAUGGGUAUUAAUAAUUAUGCGAUGUAUCUCUACAAUAUCUUAUGUAGUUUCCAUAAAUGGUAAAAGAGGCAAAGUUUUUAAACCUACCAGAGGACUUCGACAAGGUAAUCCGCUUAGUCCUUUCCUUUUUCUUAUUUGCAGCGAAGGACUUUCGUCUUUGAUCAGUAUCGCAACACGAGAAGGGCUGAUAAAAGGAGUAAAGGCCAACAGAAGAGGUCCGACAAUUUCACACUUAUUAUUUGCAGACGACUGCAUAUUGUUUGGUGAAUUAACUAAAGACAGAAUAAGAAUCUUCAAGGAGAUUUUGAAGGAAUAUGAGAUUAGUUCUGGUCAAUGUGUGAACUUUAACAAGUCCUCAAUUUUUUUUGGUUCAAAUACGACAGAAGCAGAUAAAGUUAGAAUAUCGACUGAAUUGGGGAUAAGGUGCUCGACUAAUAUAGAAAAGAAUCUUGGACUGCCAAGCAUGGUAGGAAGAAAGAAGGAAGCCUUUCAAAAUCUAAAGGACAGAAUUAAACAGAAGAUAGAUAAUUGGAGUACACGUUUCUUAUCUCAAGGAGGCAAAGAAGUUGUCAUUAAAGCAGUACUUCAAGCAAUCCCUAUUUAUGCGAUAGCAUGUUUUUUGCUACCAAAAUCUUUCUGUGAGGAGAUAGAAAAACUGUUUGCCAGAUUCUGGUGGCAAAAAGGAAAAGGCAAAAAAGGGAUACAUUGGUGCCAAUGGGAAUGUAUGUGUAAGCCUAAAGAGGAGGGAGGUAUGGGUUUCCAAAAUAUGGCGCAAUUCAAUAUCUCAUUAUUGGCUAAACAAGGAUGGCGGAUUAUGAAUAAUCAGGGUUCUAUUGUUGCGCAAGUUUUUAAAGCCAAAUACUUUCCUGAAAAUGAUUUUUUAAACUCCCAGUUAGGAAACUCUUGUUCUUAUGUAUGGAAAAGUGUUUGGGCAGCCAAAGCCUUAUUGAUAACAGGGCACUGUUGGAAGGUGAGAACGGGUUCUAGUGUCACGGACCGCAGUUCAAAGCCCGUGACAAGCGCACCAAAUACAUCCAAUGGAGGUCUGUUGCUCAGAUGGGGAUCAUUUGGCCUACGAGAACUGGCCCGAUUCAAAGAGCUGUUGGACAGACCUGUCACAUUGAAGCCUGAUGGGCCCGAUAAUGAAGAUAGGACUAAGUAGUCUUAGAAGUUCUAAUUGUACACAGCUUCUAAUUCUGUAAAGUUAGAGUCCUAAUUGAAUACAGCUUUUAAUUGUAGCCAUCGGUUUUGGGGGAGCUCAACUAUAAAUAGAGAGCCUCCCCCUCAUUUGUACUCACUCCUGUAAUUGUUUCAUUAUUCUGUGUGAAUAAGAAUUGAGAGCAUUUACUCAAACUUUUCUCUCAAGCGUUCUUGCUUUUGUUCAUCUUUCAAAGAUCGUUCUUAAUUCGUUCUUCCGCUGUUCUUCAUGGAAACUUUAAGGGAAUUCUGUUGAAUCCUUUAUUGUUGCGAGUUGAGCUGACUUAGGCGUUUUUACGGUUGAAUCCAUUAUUGGUGGAAGUUAGGCUGACUUAGGCGUUUUUAAGCCAAGAAACUGCCUAAGGCCGCACGGAUGUGUGGGAAAACUCCAAGUCCGUGACAAGUGGUAUCCGAGCCAAGGGUUGAACCAAGUGAUAUCUAAGUUGUUGGUUCAAAGGCACCGUUAGGAUGUCGAGAGAAGAGUUCGAACAAAGGUGGGCGAGGAAGUCUUUGAAGGAGACAAUAUCGGCAGUAGAGGAAUGUGUGGGUAAACUCGAGGAUCCAUGGAGGAUGUAAAGGAGGCACUCGAUGGGGUCGAGGAUCACAUAGCAAACUGGAAGGAGCAGUCCAGAGACUAUGUAAAGAUGUCUCUUGGUUCCACCAUGGACAAGGUAAACGAGUUAUUUAAUUCACACAGGGAUAAGCUGUCGGAAAGGAAUGAUGCUCUCGAGGCCAUAAUGAUGGCUUUGAAGGAGGAAACAAUGGCCACGACGAGGGCUUUGAGCACAAGAAUAGAGGAGCUCGAGGGAGAGCUAGCCUUGUGUCAAGCAGCCGUGGGGAAAAGAGUGGCAAAUGCAGCACUCAGUAAUGAGGAUGUCCCAAAGCCGAAAGAGUUUGUGGGGACAAGGUCUGCAUGUGACGUGGACAAUUUCUUGUGGAGGAUGGAAAACUACUUCCGUGCCAAAGGCAUCAUGGAGGAUGCGGUUAAGGUAAACACUGCUUCAAUGUUUCUUACUGACAUUGCGCUUUUAUGGUGGCGAGGUAGGACCACAGAUAAAAGGCAAGGUGAGAUUGGGACGUGGCAAGAGUUCCAAUGCGAGUUGAAGGGACAGUUUUACCCAGAAUUUGCCGAGGAAGAAGCUCGGGCAAAGUUGCAAGAGAUAAUGCAACGGGGCACAGUGAGGGAGUAUGUUCAAGAGUUCAAGGAACUCAUGCUCCAAAUUUCAGAUGUGACCGAUGAAGCAUUGCUUGCUUUUCAAAAGGGAUUGAAGCCGUGGGUUAGACAGGAGGUGGAACAAAGAGGUGUCCAAAAACUGUCGGAAGCCAUGACGGUAGUUGAGUCCGUGGUGAAGCUUGGUCUAGGGAAAGACAAGCUUGGGUCUUCCAAGUCCGAUGGAAGGGGCGUAUGUGAAAUGGAUCACAAGGAAGAUAGAGUUAAUGGCAAUGACAACGGCGAAAAUGGUGGUAAUGGGAAACCACGAGUUGGGAAGAAGAAACCCAAGAGGAAAAGGGACAAGCUAAAAUGCUUUCUCUGCGACGGUCCACACAUGUUGAAAAAAUGUUUGAAGAAAUCCGCGCUUAAGGAGAAGCCGGUAGGUAAGGCCUUGGUACUUGGUUCGAGCGCAAGGGGUGUCGAAGCCAAGGAGGCCGAAAGUGAGAAGAAGCCAGUGGAGUGCUUCUUGUGUCAUGGUCCGCAUAAGUUGCGGAAGUGUCCGAAGAAGUCUGUCAUCGAGGGGAACGAUGGAGCAGACAAUGAGCCCAAGAAGCUUGGUUCGAGCAAGGGAAAAGCCAAAGCCAAGAGGGCAAAGAUGAGCAAAAAGAAGCAAGUUAAGUGCUUCUUGUGCCGUGGUCCGCAUGAGUUGCGGAACUGUCCAAAGCAAGCUGGAGUCGAAAGAAACGCAACGUCUGAGCUUCGUGAGUCGUCGAAGAGGCUUCCACCCAAGGAAGAUGUGAGUUUGUCAUCUAACUUAGCGGAUAAAGUUGCGAUGAAAACAGUGAAGCUGGGACCAAUGAGACUCAAGUUGAGUGAAGUAUCAGAGUUAGCCGAGUCAUCGACAAGGCUUCCACCUAUGGGAAAGGUAGGUGGUGCAUCAGACUUUAAAGGAAAAGAAGCGAUGCAUGUGGGACAGUUGACCAGAGUAAAUGCGACGAGUAGGACGGCUCGAGUUAAGAAGCGACAAAAGCCGAGGCAAGAAUCCCAAAGAAAGGGAAAGGCUAAGGCGACGAGACGAGACCGAGGCGAAUCAAGUCAGUGCCAUUCAGAAGUCGCAACGAGGGCGUUGCGAGAAUGGGUGGGGGAGAAUGUCACGGACCGCAGUUCAAAGCCCGUGACAAGCGCACUAAAUGCAUCCAAUGGAGGUCUGUUGCUCAGAUGGGGAUAAUUUGGCCUACGAGAACUGGCCCGAUUCAAAGAGCUGUUGGACAGGCCUGUCACAUUGAAGCCUGAUGGGCCCGAUAAUGAAGAUAGGACUAAGUAGUCUUAGAAGUUCUAAUUGUACACAGCUUCUAAUUCUGUAAAGUUAGAGUCCUAAUUGAAUACAGCUUUUAAUUGUAGCCAUCGGUUUUGGGGGAGCUCAACUAUAAAUAGAGAGCCUCCCCCUCAUUUGUACUCACUCCUGUAAUUGUUUCAUUAUUCUGUGUGAAUAAGAAUUGAGAGCAUUUACUCAAACUUUUCUCUCAAGCGUUCUUGCUUUUGUUCAUCUUUCAAAGAUCGUUCUUAAUUCGUUCUUUCGCUGUUCUUCAUGGAAACUUUAAGGAAAUUCUGUUGAAUCCUUUAUUGUUGCGAGUUGAGCUGACUUAGGCGUUUUUACGGUUGAAUCCAUUAUUGGUGGAAGUUAGGCUGACUUAGGCGUUUUUAAGCCAAGAAACUGCCUAAGGCCGCACGGAUGUGUGAGAAAACUCCAAGUCCGUGACACUAGGAUAUCCAUUACUGAUGCUUGGAUUCCAGAUUCUGAUAAUUUUAAAUUGUCGUCAGGAGUUAAUUCUAUGCUCGUUUCUAAAGUAAAGGAGUUAAUCGACAGUAAUAGUAGAAGCUGGAAUGCAAAGUUGAUUAACAAUACCUUCACUGAAGCAGAUGCUGAAAGAAUUCUCAGGAUCCCGCUGGCACGAUCACCGCAUGAAGAUUUUCUUAUUUGGGGAGGGGAGAAGUCGGGUGAAUUCACGGUACGAAGUGCCUAUCAACUAUUACAGAGAUCGACUGAUAAUCCUAGAGCUUAUGCUUUACAAAACCUCUACAGAAAAUUUUACAAAACACUUUAGAGCCUGAAUAUACCAACAAAAAUAAAGAUCACAAUAUGGCGGCUAUCAUGGAACUAUCUGCCUACAAAGGUAAAUCUACAACACCGAAAAUUAGCAGUCAACACAAGGUGUCCCCGAUGUGGAGAAGGAGCUAAAACGAUGAAUCACUUAUUCCGUGACUGUGCUGUUACAAGAGAGGUAUGGAAAACGUUAUCAUUUCAGAACAUUAUGAUGUAUCAAAGCGAGGAUUUUGUACAAUGGCUCACCUGGGCGCUAGAGCAGUUAAACCCAAAUCAAAGUCGACUCUUUUGCUGUGCACUAUGGGCCAUAUGGGGAGACAGAGACAGAAACAGAAACAUACAUGAAGGCAAAGUUAGUAAUGGAAUAGAUGUUGCAAACUUUGUUAGUAAUUACAUCAUUGAGUUAACUGGUCUUGAACAAAUAAACUCAGAAAUAAUGAAAGGAAAUAAGAGAUGGACACACCCACAGUGGGAAUCCAUAAAGAUUAAUUUUGAUGGUGCAUAUAAUCAGAUUCAGAACCGGUCAGCCUCAGGUGUUGUGGCCAGAGACUCGGAAGGAAAAAUUCUUUUAUCCUGCUCAGAAAUCCACAAUGGAGUUCCAUCUGCUUUUGCUGCUGAAGCAAUUGCCUGUAGGAAAGCAGUCCAAGUAGGAGUUGACCAUGGUUGGCAGGCACUCAUUUUUGAAGGAGAUUCCCUCGCAAUAAUCAAGAAAUGCAACAAAAAUGAUCAUGACAGAUCAAUGGUAGGGGCAUAUAUUUAUGAUAUACAACAGAAAAUACUAGAAGUUAAAAAUAUCAGAUUUCUUCACACACCAAGAUCUGCAAACAACCUUGCACAUAUCCUUGCAACAGAGAUGCUAAGAAGAGGAGAGGAAUUUUACCUGGAAAUGGGCGUUUCUGAUUAUGCAGAGACCCAAGCACGGCAUGAUAAGCUGAGCGAACCAGAUUAGGGAAGCAUCGAGAGAUGGAGUUUGGAAGAGAGAAAGUUUUCAGAGCAAUAAAGAAACAGAAAUGAUCUGCUAGACAAUUUUGAAAUAUGGAAUCGUCAAAAGGAGAUUGAAAUGACAGGGUGAGGCGAUGACAAAUUUCAGUAGCUUCUGAUUGGACAACGGAUCGGCGCAUUAAUUGCUGGUUCUAGAGUUUUCUUUUAAUAUCUAGAUAUUUUAGGUGAGGGCACCUGUUUCUGGGCCGAGUACUUUGUGCCCGUUUCUUUUUUUGACUUUUGCUUUAGUUUGUUUGUUUUGGACUAUUCCAAAUAGUUUGAAUGUUUUAAUCAAUAAAAGCCCAAUCUGGAAUUUCAAAAAAAAAAUUAUAUUAUAUAGUAUUAUAUAUUAUGAUUUUAUUAAAU
Molecule: long non-coding RNA, 8840 nt
Filed under: Gossypium barbadense (sea-island cotton)
Lineage: Eukaryota; Viridiplantae; Streptophyta; Magnoliopsida; Malvales; Malvaceae
Description: long non-coding RNA (GBAR_LNC019337)
Source: RNAcentral